UCAUGUAAUAUAUAUAUCAUACAAUGAUGUAUAUGUAUACAUCACUAAUUUUUGCUAUGUAUUUAGUUGCAAUCUAGCUGAUAUGGCUCAUGUAGAAUGUAAGUCCUUUCAUCUGGUUGUAUAGUAGCAACAGUAUUUGUUACCAAAAUAUUUGAGAUUUUUUUUGAGGAUGUAAGGAAUUUUCACACAAAAAAUAUUAUUUAAAAUAUGUGAAUUCGUUCAACGCUUACAUUCCUAAAAAUCUACAGAGUCUUGAAGAUUGGCACAGAACCCAGCCUUUUAGAAAAGCAAUGCAAAGCUGAAGUCAGAUGUGACAGUGUCACAGAAUCAGAGUAAUUGGGGCUGGGAGGGACCUUCACACGUCCUCAGUCCAAUGUACUGCUCAAAGCUGGAACAGCUGGGAGAUCAGAUGGGUCACACGAGGCUGCAUCCCAUUCAGCCCUGAAAGCUUCUAGGAAUGGAGACUGCAUAGCCUCUCUGGGCAGCCUGCUUUAAUACUUGGCUAUGAAUAGUACGCUUUUUUUCCUGUGACACAUGGUAAUUUAUACUUUCUCUCGCUGAUUAAAGGCCUUGGUCAGCAUGGAUAAGACAUCUGGCACCGCAGAAAGGUCAUCUCUUCUGUCAUCAUCUAGCUGUACAAUAAUAAAUUCGGUCUCCCAAUGAUAAUUUUAGAUUUGCAAAUUAGCAGAAGUCUUAUGAUCUAUCUCUCCUGUGCUCUACUGGAGUCGCUGCUAAAAGGAAAGUAAGCAGCAAAGCUCCCCGAAAUGUUUUAAGCCUAAACAGUGGUAAAAUCUAAUGCACAAUGAAUGUCACUUCUGGCUUGUUUCCAAAAUAGCGUUUUUGGAUCGCUUGCUAUAUGCUGGAAAUUAUUUGGUAAGGAUUGGCUGGCGAACAGAUGAAUCAAAGUGACAUUUCCAUUACCAACAGGAGAUCUAUCUGUGGUCAGAAUUCAUGGAGAAGGAUGCGGGAUGGUUGUAAGCCUAUUCAUUAUGUUUAAUAUUGUCAGAGAAAUGAAAUAGCUUCUAUUAUUCAUCUCUCUGGGAUGGUAAUGUAUCUGAAUAUUAAUACAAAAAUGGGAAUCUGAUCAAAACCCACUGACCCAGCAAGACAUUGAUACGUAUUUUAAUCACUCUCUUUGGGACAAUGAAAAAAAAGUACUCUUCACAAUAAAUCUGCAGGAAAUCAAGAUCUUCUGCUUUUCUCAGUGGGAUACUUGGGAACAUCACUGUGUAUUCUGUCCUUGUGUUUGAAGGACCUUCAGGAUUUCCAGAUCUUGUUUCCUUCCAUAGCCCUUCUACUGGUUGGAUGUGUGUUAGACCCCAGUGGGGGUAGGAUUCAUCUCAGUGAAAUAUAUCCCCCUAUAGGAAUGCAUGAACACAAGAAAUGGAAAGAGAUUUCCGGAGGCGGUUUCACCUUGGGAAGCAGGGAUUGUAGGCUCAAUGUGAAAGUUACUGAGGUCAGGUUGUACUGGAUUGUGCAAUGGGAGGUAGGUAUGUAAAUGCAUGAAGAUGACAUAAGGAGAGCAGAAUGGAGGAGGGAUUAAUGGUAAUGAAUGGUACUGCCCGUGCACUGUGACUCGUAUUUCAGGAAAGAUGAUGCUGAUAAUGAAUAUUAAAGAAGCUGACAUUCCCUAGAACUAGUUCUGCUAUAUUUUAAGCCAUAAACCAGAAGGGCUGUUGGACUUUGCAGAAAGCAUUCACAUUAUGCAGGGAUAUUAUUAUUAACAGAACAAAGGGGUAAGCAUGAGGUCAUAAAAUGUAUGAUUUAAUGACUGAAUUUGACUGUAAUUAUGCAUUAGAAAUAUUCAUGAGAAGUCUAAAAAGUGAAUUGGCAGUGCGUGAUCUAACCAUGGUAAGCAGCCCUCCAAAACAGUGUUGCAGGAACUUCGCCAUUUAUCUUCUUUAUUCAUUGAUGCAGACGUAAAUGAGGUUUCUAUACCUUGGUCAUCUCCCAGUGCAGUGCUUCUAGAAGAAUAAAACCCCUUGGGAUUUUGGAUUGCGGAUCUGAUCUGCCACUGGCUCCAGUACAGGUGGAGGUGACAAAGUUUUGGACAGAAGGCUUAUUCAAACUAAGGACCGAGGCCUGUGAAAAUGAAGGAUGUGGAUCUGCCUAUGGAAAGGUCUACAACUGCCAUGAAAUCUUAAGGAGCAAGAGUGCCAACUGUGCUGAUGGCAAAACAAGCUUGAGAGAAGUGCUAUUAUGAGUGUGCCUGUGUGGAGACCACCUGGAGAGCUGUUCUAGCAGGUCUGAUGCAAAGCAGCACCAUCAAUUACUGGGAUUGUGAGCACCUAGCUUCUGUGAGUAUGUGGCUGAGAUGUGCAUCUUAGAAAGCCAGGAGCAACAAAAUGCUGUGAGGUUUCCAGUUAUUAUUGGUGCAGACUUAAUCUUAGAACUCUGCUAAGCAAGUUACUUUCCCAGCUCGCCCCCCUGCUGUAUGAAGAAUCACUUGCUUUCUUUGCAAGGAAAUUGAUGGAGACACAACACAUCUUUCCUGGAGCAGAAGGUUGGAUGUCAGACUGGAGCUCUUCUGCCACGGUGCCACAAUGGCUGACUCUGCAAUGGCUGCAGUUCUAGUGGGACUCAGCACCUCUCCCACAGCCUGACCAGGCCUGGAUGCAUUUCAAAAGCUUCUCCUCAUCCUCCUCAUGUCAAUGGUAGAAGAGGUCAGUGGCUCAUUUAGGUUUACUCAUAUCACUUCAAUUACUUCUUAAUCCUUGCUUUGGGUAGUGCUUGUCCUGCUCCAUGAAGAAUGCACCUCAAUUUGGUUUCCACCCUUUCAGCCCCCCAUCCCUCAUCCUAGGCUCCAGGUCUCCCAUGC
This is a long non-coding RNA of Gallus gallus (chicken), 2818 nucleotides long. RefSeq lists it as uncharacterized. The transcript has 4 exons. Lineage: Eukaryota; Metazoa; Chordata; Aves; Galliformes; Phasianidae. The record is from RefSeq and is a predicted model, not a curated record.